Candidatus Methanoperedens sp. is the source of this 48-nucleotide non-coding RNA. Lineage: Archaea; Methanobacteriati; Methanobacteriota; Methanomicrobia; Methanosarcinales; Candidatus Methanoperedentaceae. The record is from Rfam.
CGGGAGAAAAUCCCGCAGGGAUGUGGCCUGAUAAGGCUGAACCGUAAA